GGAACACCUGUGAAAAACGCGCACAUGGAUCUGUGAGACAAACAUACAUGACAACAGAGGAAAACAGGCACACAGCAAACCGUGUUCCUAAAGGUUGUUAAAAAAAUCAACGGUGGUCUGCACAUGGUCAUAAUCUUCUUCAUUUUUUUCGCAAUUGGCUUUGCAGUGCUCAGUUUAGCCUUCUGUAUAUAUAAUGCCAGAAAAGUUCCUUAUCAAUCGAUCAGAGGACCAUUUGGCCUCUACAUCUGGAAUUUUAUUGCAGCUCUGUUCAGUGCAAUGGGCUUUGCAUGUUUCCUCGCAGCAGUUCAGUGCCAUGAUCUCACAGAACACGUGGCUAACUACAAAGAAAGUCUUUUUCGACUUGUGAUCCUCGAGGAAAGUCUCGGCUUUUCUUUCUGGUUGUGCGUUGCCAGUGCUGUUACACACGGAGCAAAUAUUCUUGUAGUAGCCUGCAGUAGACUUCAUCUACCUAAAAUCAAGACAAAGAAACCAGAAGAACCCACAGCGACAGGAGAUGAUUUCCUUUACUAAGGAACAGAGACAAACUGAAAGUUCUGACUGUUGUGGUCUUCGAGGAAGCUGCUUGAAAGCCAAACAGAAUGUUGGUGCAUUGACAUCAACUGAAUAUGAGAUGAUUUUUAUGGGUUUGACUCGUGGAUGAUUCUUAAAGACCAUUAUGUGGCAAAUAAGUAAUCGACUUGUUUAGGACAUAACAAGUUGUCACAGACUUCCAGGGCUUCCAAAACAUAAUGAGACAUUGUAACUAUUUUUUUUAAAAAAAUGAAUCAUGUAAAGUUAAAUAAUAUUGUUAUUUAACCCUUAUGUGGUGUUCGGGUCUGUGGGAUACGCUUUUAAAGUUUACUAAAACAAAAAUGAUGCAAUUAAUUGUUUUAUCAACCUCAGAUUCUUGGCCUUGGCUCAUUUUCUAUGAACAACAUAAAAAUAAACAACUUUACAAUGACUGUA
Molecule: non-coding RNA, 966 nt
Organism: Misgurnus anguillicaudatus (oriental weatherfish)
Lineage: Eukaryota; Metazoa; Chordata; Actinopteri; Cypriniformes; Cobitidae
Source: RefSeq, a predicted model, not a curated record